Molecule: ribosomal RNA, 468 nt
Filed under: uncultured bacterium
Lineage: Bacteria
Description: partial 16S ribosomal RNA
Rfam family: Bacterial small subunit ribosomal RNA
Source: RNAcentral
GACGAACGCUGGCGGCGUGCUUAACACAUGCAAGUCGAACGGAAAGGCCCUGCUUUUGUGGGGUGCUCGAGUGACGAACGGGUGAGUAACACGUGAGUAACCUGCCCUUGACUUUGGGAUAACUUCAGGAAACUGGGGCUAAUACCGGAUAGGAGCUCCUGCUGCAUGGUGGGGGUUGGAAAGUUUCGGCGGUUGGGGAUGGACUCGCGGCUUAUCAGCUUGUUGGUGGGGUAGUGGCUUACCAAGGCUUUGACGGGUAGCCGGCCUGAGAGGGUGACCGGCCACAUUGGGACUGAGAUACGGCCCAGACUCCUACGGGAGGCAGCAGUGGGGAAUAUUGCACAAUGGGCGGAAGCCUGAUGCAGCAACGCCGCGUGCGGGAUGACGGCCUUCGGGUUGUAAACCGCUUUCGCCUGUGACGAAGCGUGAGUGACGGUAAUGGGUAAAGAAGCACCGGCUUACUACGUG